AUGAUGCUUGCACUGGUCUGUAAUUGUGCUUACAGCUGCUUCUACCCCUUGCCUUUCAGAUGUGGUGGUGGAGUGAAGAGCAAGGACAUCUGCUGCUCAGAGUACUCCUCGCUGGACUCCCUCCGCACCUGGCAACCUCAGAUGGUCUGGUCUCAAGCAGCGUCCCAUCAAAGAGCACCACCUGCAUCUCACAGUGGCAUGCUUCCCACUGCUUGGUGGCGUUGGGUGAGGUGUGACCAGUAGCAUAGAAACAGCCAUGUCUGAGGCCGGAGGAAGCAAUGUUUCUGAUUAAGCAAGGUACGUCUCAACAGUCAGCUAGAAUUUGUCUCAAUUCUGCUGUUAAGUAUGUUAAUUAUGCAUCAACUUUUUUCACGUUCUUUGUAAAUUUAAGGGCCUGGUUCUGGAGAUAAGACUGUAC
Molecule: long non-coding RNA, 418 nt
Filed under: Anser brachyrhynchus (Pink-footed goose)
Lineage: Eukaryota; Metazoa; Chordata; Aves; Anseriformes; Anatidae
Description: lncRNA (ENSABRG00000022900.1)
Source: RNAcentral